RNAcentral lists this ribosomal RNA (253 nucleotides) under uncultured bacterium. RNAcentral's name for it is "partial 16S ribosomal RNA". It matches the Rfam family "Bacterial small subunit ribosomal RNA", at positions 524 to 776 of the family's 1533-position model. The record is from RNAcentral.
GACAGAGGUGCCAAGCGUUAGGCGGAAUCACUGGGCUUAAAGCGUGUGUAGGCGGACUGGUAAGUACCUUGUGAAAUCCCACGGCUUAACCGUGGAACUGCUCGGUAUACUGCCGGUCUUGAGCCACCUAGGGGCGAGCGGAACAAAUGGUGGGGCGGUGAAAUGCGUAGAUAUCAUAUGGAACGCCAAUGGUGAAAACAGCUCGCUGGGGGUGUGCUGACGCUGAGACACGAAAGCCAGGGGAGCAAACGGG